GACGAACGCUGGCGGCGUGCCUAAUACAUGCAAGUCGAACGCUUCUUUCCUCCCGAGUGCUUGCACUCAAUUGGAAAGAGGAGUGGCGGACGGGUGAGUAACACGUGGGUAACCUACCCAUCAGAGGGGGAUAACACUUGGAAACAGGUUCUAAUACCGCAUAACAGUUUAUGCCGCAUGGCAUAAGAGUGAAAGGCGCUUUCGGGUGUCGCUGAUGGCUGGACCCGCGGUGCAUUAGCUAGUUGGUGAGGUAACGGCUCACCAAGGCCACGAUGCAUAGCCGACCUGAGAGGGUGAUCGGCCACACUGGGACUGAGACACGGCCCAGACUCCUACGGGAGGCAGCAGUAGGGAAUCUUCGGCAAUGGACGAAAGUCUGACCGAGCAACGCCGCGUGAGUGAAGAAGGUUUUCGGAUCGUAAAACUCUGUUGUUAGAGAAGAACAAGGACGUUAGUAACUGAACGUCCCCUGACGGUAUCUAACCAGAAAGCCACGGCUAACUACGUG
RNAcentral lists this ribosomal RNA (508 nucleotides) under uncultured bacterium. RNAcentral describes it as "partial 16S ribosomal RNA". It matches the Rfam family "Bacterial small subunit ribosomal RNA", at positions 28 to 507 of the family's 1533-position model. The record is from RNAcentral.